Molecule: transfer RNA, 73 nt
Filed under: Cordylochernes scorpioides
Lineage: Eukaryota; Metazoa; Arthropoda; Arachnida; Pseudoscorpiones; Chernetidae
Description: tRNA-Thr
Rfam family: tRNA
About the family: Transfer RNA (tRNA) molecules are approximately 80 nucleotides in length. Their secondary structure includes four short double-helical elements and three loops (D, anti-codon, and T loops). Further hydrogen bonds mediate the characteristic L-shaped molecular structure. tRNAs have two regions of fundamental functional importance: the anti-codon, which is responsible for specific mRNA codon recognition, and the 3' end, to which the tRNAs corresponding amino acid is attached (by aminoacyl-tRNA synthetases). tRNAs cope with the degeneracy of the genetic code in two manners: having more than one tRNA (with a specific anti-codon) for a particular amino acid; and 'wobble' base-pairing, i.e. permitting non-standard base-pairing at the 3rd anti-codon position.
Source: RNAcentral
UCCAGGGUAGCCUAGUGGACAUGGCAUCUGCCCGGUAAGCGGAACAUUGUGGGUUCGAUUCCCACCCCUGGAC